CCUACGGGAGGCAGCAGUAGGGAAUCUUCCACAAUGGACGAAAGCCUGAUGGAGCCACGCCGCGUGAGUGAAGAAGGGUUUCGGGUUGUAAAGCACUGUUGGUAGGGAAGAAAGAUAGAGGGAGUAACUGGCCUUUAAUUGACGGUAAUUACUUAGAAAGUCACGGCUAACUACGUGCCAGCAGCCGCGGUAAUACGUAGGGUGCAAGCGUUAUCCGGAUUUAUUGGGCGUAAAGCGCGUGCAGGCGGUUCAAUAAGUCUGAUGUGAAAGCCUUCGGCUCAACCGGAGAAUUGCAUCAGAAACUGGUGAACUUGAGUGCAGGAGAGGAGAGUGGAAUUCCAUGUGUAGCGGUGAAAUGCGUAGAUAUAUGGAAGAACACCAGUGGCGAAGGCGGCUCUCUGGUCAGCAACUGACGCUGAGGCUCGAAAGCGUGGGUAGCGAACAGGAUUAGAUACCCCAGUAGUC
RNAcentral lists this ribosomal RNA (465 nucleotides) under uncultured bacterium. RNAcentral's name for it is "partial 16S ribosomal RNA". It matches the Rfam family "Bacterial small subunit ribosomal RNA", at positions 338 to 795 of the family's 1533-position model. The record is from RNAcentral.